This is an unclassified non-coding RNA of Chelonoidis abingdonii (Abingdon island giant tortoise), 169 nucleotides long. The record is from Ensembl. Lineage: Eukaryota; Metazoa; Chordata; Testudines; Testudinidae.
AUGACAGCCCUGGAGACUGAAGUCCGCAGGCUGGAUGCACACAGGCAGUAACAGUGCAAGCUUCCUACAUAUUCCACUCCACCAGUAUGCCUCAACCCUGAUCUGCCGCAACCAGCUCUAGGGAUGAGAGGGGAAUUCAACCUUUGCACCUAGCCAAUCCUUGGCAUCC